CACGUAGGGUGCGAGCGUUGUCCGGAAUUAUUGGGCGUAAAGAGCUCGUAGGCGGUGUGUCGCGUCGGCCGUGAAAACCUGCAGCUUAACUGUGGGCGUGCGGUCGAUACGGGCGGGCUAGAGUUCGGUAGGGGAGACUGGAAUUCCUGGUGUAGCGGUGAAAUGCGCAGAUAUCAGGAGGAACACCGGUGGCGAAGGCGGGUCUCUGGGCCGAUACUGACGCUGAGGAGCGAAAGCGUGGGGAGCGAACAGG
This 253-nucleotide ribosomal RNA is filed under the name uncultured bacterium. RNAcentral's name for it is "partial 16S ribosomal RNA". It matches the Rfam family "Bacterial small subunit ribosomal RNA", at positions 524 to 776 of the family's 1533-position model. The record is from RNAcentral.